AUCCAAUGGCAAAGAGAUAGUAUAACAGCUCUUAAUAGCUUACCUCCUCUCACCGAAAGUGUGCAUUGCAUACUAGCAAAACAAAUCAUAGCUACUAAGAAAAAAAAUGUCCGGUAUGAGCAUGUUCACAAUAUGUAAACAGUGUACAAAAUACAAAGAGGGGAACAAGGCAAAAUUAUUUAUAUUUUGGAGGGGCCAAAGUAAAAUUACAUAGAUUUUGAAGGGGACAAAAUAUCAACUUCAUUAAUAAAUACUCAAAAUACAAUGGGGAUAAAAUGGGUAUUAUGUUACAAAAUAUGUUAUAGGAUUUGUGUCCACCAAUGGGCAUUAUGUUAUAAAAUAAGGUAACAGAUUUGUGUUCACAUUAGCCAAAAGCAUUUUGUUGACAUUAUGUUAUAAAAUAUGUUACAGGAUUUGUGUUCACCUUAUGACGUUUUUCUUUUUUCAAUUUUUUCUUUUUCUAUUUGGGCAAUAACAGUAGGAAGUUACUGACUUAAGAGUAAUCCAUUACCAGGUAAUAUCAUCUGCAAGAGAGAGAGAGAGAGAGAGAGAGAGAGAGAGAGAGAGUUGUGAAACAUUUCAUUACAAAAUGAAAAUUUUGUACUACUAAAUUUUCAACUUGGUUUCAAUUUCAAUUAAGAAAAUUUGGCCACUAUCAACAAGCUAGCGUUCCAACAGGAAUCAAGCAGCAAAAUACACAAUUUUAACAAGCUUCAUGUGCUUAUACUUAAUUAGCAGGAAAGUCCUAUAAAACAAUUUAAAAAAAUAGUCCUUUAUGCAGUUCCAGUAAGGUAACAAAAACCAAUGUUCCAUGAAAAAUAAUUCUAAGGCAGCUGAUUGAGGUGGGUAGUAAAAAACAAUUCUUGAUUGGAAAUGAAUACAUAAUUUUUUUAACAAAGUUCACAUCCACCAAUAAAAAAUCAUCAAAUAAAGUUACACUAAAAGAACCCAGCCAAAAUACACUAGCAAACAGAGAGGGGAAAAAUAAAUAAAUAAACCCAAAAAAUAUGAAAAUUAUUUGCCAAACUUUAAUUAACCAAAAAAAAAGGACAAGGAACAAAAAUAAUAACAAAGAUUUAUAUAAUACCCUAACUCGAGCAUUAUCAGCAAGAGUUAUGAGGGGGA
Camellia sinensis is the source of this 1125-nucleotide non-coding RNA. Lineage: Eukaryota; Viridiplantae; Streptophyta; Magnoliopsida; Ericales; Theaceae. The record is from RefSeq and is a predicted model, not a curated record.